UUUAUGCUGGUUUCCGUGCCCAACGUUUGACCGUCCGUCUUAUUUGAAAAAAUUAUGAAAAAAAUUAAAAAAACAAGUCACGCAUAAAAUAUUAAUCAUGUUUUAUCAUCUAACAACAAUAAAAAUACGAAUUAUAAAAAAAUUUCAUAUAAGACGGACAGUCAAAGUUGGACACGGAAACCCAGGGUUUGCCUUUUU
RNAcentral lists this microRNA precursor (198 nucleotides) under Oryza barthii. RNAcentral's name for it is "MIR812 microRNA precursor family". It matches the Rfam family "MIR812 microRNA precursor family". Lineage: Eukaryota; Viridiplantae; Streptophyta; Magnoliopsida; Poales; Poaceae. The record is from Rfam by way of RNAcentral.